GGUAAAAAGCACUAGUGGUUAGGCCACAGCGCUUUCACCGCUGCGGCCUGGGUUCAAUUCCUGGCCA
This is a non-coding RNA of Pangasius djambal, 67 nucleotides long. The record is from the annotation of a GenBank genome assembly. Lineage: Eukaryota; Metazoa; Chordata; Actinopteri; Siluriformes; Pangasiidae.